GGCCGACUACCGGCGCCGUGUCCCAUCAUUCGUGUAGCUUAUGUUACUGUUGCCUUUCGAGUGCUUGCAUGCUGGUACCUGACCUACGGGAAGUGGUGCUUCAUACACAGUUGCCUCGCGGUGGACGCCUUCGGGUGUGCUGCUGCGGCCAAAUGGCGCUUGCGGCGUUGCCUCGUGGUGCUGGCUCGUUUUCGUGCCCGGUGCUAUCAAGGCAGCCUCGCUCCCGCUGUUGGUUUCGGAUGCCGCUCACGAUAAACGCUCAUGGCCCUUUUGGGUUGCCUUGACCUGACCCUAAAUAUGCCUUCCUCGUUGAGAACAACCGGAACAGGUGUUGCCUCAACUCGUAGGUGGAUAUUGGCCCGCUCAAUUGCGACAACCGGCCCGGCGGUUGCCUCUGCCUUUCCACGCAAGUGGACUGGCGAACAACUACCGGCGCUGGACGUCAAAGAGGACGUGCUACCUGGUUGAUCCUGCCAGUAGUC
This 482-nucleotide unclassified non-coding RNA is filed under the name Relchela panicoides. Its description in RNAcentral is "contains 3' external transcribed spacer, ETS". The record is from RNAcentral. Lineage: Eukaryota; Viridiplantae; Streptophyta; Magnoliopsida; Poales; Poaceae.